GUCGUCAGCUGCUACCAUGCAGUCGAGCGGUAGCACAGAGAGCUUGCUCUCGGGUGACGAGCGGCGGACGGGUGAGUAAUGUCUGGGAAACUGCCUGAUGGAGGGGGAUAACUACUGGAAACGGUAGCUAAUACCGCAUAACGUCGCAAGACCAAAGUGGGGGACCUUCGGGCCUCAUGCCAUCAGAUGUGCCCAGAUGGGAUUAGCUAGUAGGUGGGGUAACGGCUCACCUAGGCGACGAUCCCUAGCUGGUCUGAGAGGAUGACCAGCCACACUGGAACUGAGACACGGUCCAGACUCCUACGGGAGGCAGCAGUGGGGAAUAUUGCACAAUGGGCGCAAGCCUGAUGCAGCCAUGCCGCGUGUAUGAAGAAGGCCUUCGGGUUGUAAAGUACUUUCAGCGGGGAGGAAGGCGAUAAGGUUAAUAACCUUGUCGAUUGACGUUACCCGCAGAAGAAGCACCGGCUAACUCCGUGCCAGCAGCCGCGGUAAUACGGAGGGUGCAAGCGUUAAUCGGAAUUACUGGGCGUAAAGCGCACGCAGGCGGUCUGUCAAGUCGGAUGUGAAAUCCCCGGGCUCAACCUGGGAACUGCAUUCGAAACUGGCAGGCUAGAGUCUUGUAGAGGGGGGUAGAAUUCCAGGUGUAGCGGUGAAAUGCGUAGAGAUCUGGAGGAAUACCGGUGGCGAAGGCGGCCCCCUGGACAAAGACUGACGCUCAGGUGCGAAAGCGUGGGGAGCAAACAGGAUUAGAUACCCUGGUAGUCCACGCCGUAAACGAUGUCGAUUUGGAGGUUGUGCCCUUGAGGCGUGGCUUCCGGAGCUAACGCGUUAAAUCGACCGCCUGGGGAGUACGGCCGCAAGGUUAAAACUCAAAUGAAUUGACGGGGGCCCGCACAAGCGGUGGAGCAUGUGGUUUAAUUCGAUGCAACGCGAAGAACCUUACCUGGUCUUGACAUCCACAGAACUUGCCAGAGAUGGGCUUGGUGCCCUUCGGGAACUGUGAGACAGUGCUGCAUGGCUGUCGUCAGCUCGUGUUGUGAAAUGUUUGGGUUUAAGUCCCGCAACGAGCGCAACCCUUAUCCUUUGUUGCCAGCGGGUUAGUCGGGAACUCAAGGAGACUGCCAGUGAUAACUGGAGAAAGUGGGGAUGACGUCAGUCAUCAUGGGCCUUACGACCAGGGCCUACACACACGUGCA
This 1196-nucleotide ribosomal RNA is filed under the name Klebsiella pneumoniae. RNAcentral describes it as "bacterial SSU rRNA". It matches the Rfam family "Bacterial small subunit ribosomal RNA", at positions 38 to 1226 of the family's 1533-position model. Lineage: Bacteria; Pseudomonadati; Pseudomonadota; Gammaproteobacteria; Enterobacterales; Enterobacteriaceae. The record is from RNAcentral.